This is a long non-coding RNA of Melospiza melodia melodia, 312 nucleotides long. RefSeq lists it as uncharacterized. The transcript has 3 exons. The record is from RefSeq and is a predicted model, not a curated record. Lineage: Eukaryota; Metazoa; Chordata; Aves; Passeriformes; Passerellidae.
AGUGUUUCUUUAGGCCAUGCAUCAUAUCACACAUCUACUUAAAUACCCUGAGGUGGACAUGACUGUAGUUUGCUCUGAUGACUGAAGUACAUACUGUCUUGCAUUCCAUGGUGCUUUCCACCCUUGUGAUUACAUCAUCUUCAGUUCCUGUUUGGUAUUUACUGGAGUGACUGGUGCAUUUAUCCCUGUUCCACAGACAUGAAGUCAUAACCUCAUCUGAAUGAAGAUAUGAAAGAAUCUAGAAUACAUGAAAAAACCACAUGCUUCAAAGAUAUUUUGUAUUACUCUGUCAAUAAACCCUUCAUAGCCUGA